This 973-nucleotide long non-coding RNA is filed under the name Fragaria vesca (wild strawberry). RNAcentral's name for it is "long non-coding RNA (FVES_LNC004277)". The record is from RNAcentral. Lineage: Eukaryota; Viridiplantae; Streptophyta; Magnoliopsida; Rosales; Rosaceae.
AGAGAAAACACAUUUUUUGACAUGAUGGACUUUUCUUUUUGUUGUGCUGUAAAGGUUUCCAUUCAAAGUUCUCAAACCAUGCAUGGGAACUUUUCCUUCAUUUGAAUCUUCUUUGUCUGCCUAAAUUUGCAAUCUAGAUUAUUAGCCCUUGAGACACUGUCCAUGCCUACUGUAACUGAUAUUGAAAUAUGUUUGAUGCUAGUCAUGCUACUAAACAGUAAGGUAUAUACAUAUGUCCAAAUAUUGUCAAGAGAUACAACGAUCUCUUGGUUCUGGAGUGACACUAAUUAUUCCGCAUUACUAUGAACUAAUUAAAGACUACAUUUAUAGAGAUAUGAAGACGUAGUAGUAUCAGAAUAACCAGAUCCUAUGCUAAGGUAGCACUACCAGAAGAAAGGCUUUAGCUGACGAAAAUAAAAAACCAGGCCGACGAAUCAUUUUUUCGUCGGCUAAAGAAAUUUUCCUUCGUCGGCUAAUUUAAAUUUUCGUCGGCUAAAUUGUCGGCUAUGGUAAACUUUAGCCGACGAAAUUAAAAUGUCGUCGGCUAAAGAAUUUAUUUCGUCGGCUAAAGUUCACAGACUAUGGCCGACGAAAUAUUUAAAAGUUUAGCCGACGAAAUUAAUAUGUCGUCGGCUAAAGUGCUUUAUAUUUGCAGAUCUGGACAACAGCAGCUCAUAUGGGAAAAAAAUGGGAGAAGAAAAAACGGGAGAAAAAGUUUGGGUGUUGUCGAAAUCUGUCCAUAAUUAGUUUGUGGAGCUAUAUAUAGGUACGUAUAUGUAUAUAUAUGUUGAUUAAUUGAGUUUUAUUUGAGUUGAUCGAUUUUGAGUGUGAUUGAGUUGAUUGAUUUUGAGUGUGAUUGAGUUGAUUGAUUUUGAGUACGUUGGAUGUAUAUAUAUAUAUAUAUAUGUGUGUGUGUGUUGAUCGAUUUGGUUGAUGAUUUGAAUUGAUAAUAUAUAUGAAUUAAGUUGUUGUU